GGCGCGCGGCCUAACGGCGGCGGCGGCGGCGACGGCGACAGCAGCGGUGGUGGUGUCUGGUUAGCUCGGCGGCUGCAGAUCUCGCGGCGACGCCUGCGAGGGACCCGGGCCGCGGGUCGAGGCGGGCGGCGCCUGCGAGGGACCCGUGUCGCGGGUAGAGGCGGGCGGCGCGGCGGCGGCGCUCGGCGAUGGUAGGCGUCCCUGGAGCGGCCGCCUUCCAGCUUGGUCCUGAGAAAAGGGUGCCAGCGAUGCCUGGAUCGCCUGUGGAAGUGAAGAUACAGUCCAGAUCCUCACCUCCCACCAUGCCACCCCUCCCACCAAUAAAUCCUGGAGGACCGAGGCCAGUGUCCUUCACUCCUACUGCAUUAAGCAAUGGCAUCAACCAUUCUCCUCCUACCCUGAAUGGUGCCCCAUCACCGCCACAGAGAUUCAGCAAUGGUCCUGCCUCCUCCACAUCAUCUGCACUCACAAAUCAGCAAUUGCCAGCCACUUGUGGUGCUCGACAACUCAGCAAGUUGAAACGCUUUCUUACCACUCUGCAACAGUUUGGCAAUGACAUCUCCCCUGAGAUUGGGGAGAAGGUGCGGACUCUUGUUCUUGCACUGGUGCAGAGUUGCUGAGUCUCAUUCCUAAUUUGAGGCCUAGACUUUUGGGGAAACACAGAGGACGUCCACCUUUUAGAGAACAGUGAUAACUUACCAAUGGGG
RNAcentral lists this small RNA (707 nucleotides) under Pan troglodytes (chimpanzee). RNAcentral's name for it is "processed transcript". The record is from RNAcentral. Lineage: Eukaryota; Metazoa; Chordata; Mammalia; Primates; Hominidae.